Erpetoichthys calabaricus (reedfish) is the source of this 558-nucleotide non-coding RNA. The record is from the annotation of a RefSeq genome assembly. NCBI's taxonomy places the organism in Eukaryota, Metazoa, Chordata, Cladistia, Polypteriformes, Polypteridae.
CUAAAUAAUUUUGGAGUAUCUCAUAAAACAAGCAAACAAGAUAUUAAAGUAUUUUGUAUAAUGAAGAAAUACUUUUAUUUAAUUAACAUUAUUUCUGCUCUUUAUCCAGGUUUGAUAACUGGAGAUUCAGUCACUAAUAUUAAAAGUGAUAUCAUAGGAAUAGAAGGAGGUGAGGUUACACUCCAGUGCAGCUACUCAACAAGUAGUAGCUAUGCUUAUUUAUACUGGUACCGAAAGUAUAUAAACCAUGGCAUGCAAUAUAUUUUGUACAAAGGAGCUGGCACGGCUAGUUCAGCUGGAAAUACUGCACCAUUUGCUGAGGGACGAUUUUCUUCCACAACUGGACAAAAUUUCACUGAACUCAAAAUUUCUCUCCUCUCUUUGAGUGAUGCUGCUACCUAUUUCUGUGCCAUGAGAACCACUGCAUUACAUUCUACUUACACACUCAACAAAAACUCUCUUACCACAACUAACAGAUCUUUCACACUUUUCAAGAUUAUGGUUUGGCGGAUUUAUCAGUCAUACUUGGGCAUUAAAUUGCAUGCUAGGUUGGUAUGA